Molecule: long non-coding RNA, 479 nt
Organism: Passer domesticus (house sparrow)
Lineage: Eukaryota; Metazoa; Chordata; Aves; Passeriformes; Passeridae
Exons: 2
Source: RefSeq, a predicted model, not a curated record
GUCACAGUUCAUUUUUUCCCCUCAUUUUCUACCCCCAAAGUCCCUUGGGAUUGCAGCUGUGCUAACUUCUUUUUGCAUUUACGCAUUCAGCCCAAAAUACUAACUUUAUCCACAACUAAGCCAAGAACGCCAUUUCCAUCCGUGCAGCCUAUUCCAUAUUUGAUUUAUAAUUCUGUCUUCAAGGAGGUGUUCUGUGGUUAAAGAUACCUCAGCCUUUUUCCCUGUGUAUGGUGAGGAGGGAAGUGCCUGGCCUCCUCCCGAGCAGUGCAAACGACCCCCUGGCCUGAUGCUGAUGACACUGAUGGGUCAGGAGCUGCAUUGGGAUGUGAGCCUGAUCUUCACAUGGCAGCCAUAAAACUGAGAAUUUACUGUUUGGAUACAAUAAGGGGAUUUAACAAUGCUGAUGGUAUCUACCAGUCCCAUAAUGAAGAGAUGUCCUUUGCUUCUUCUGAGAAACACAUUUUUCAGUGCUGUGAACA